This 186-nucleotide small nuclear RNA is filed under the name Dermacentor silvarum. RNAcentral's name for it is "U2 spliceosomal RNA". It matches the Rfam family "U2 spliceosomal RNA". Rfam says of the family: U2 is a small nuclear RNA (snRNA) component of the spliceosome (involved in pre-mRNA splicing). Complementary binding between U2 snRNA (in an area lying towards the 5' end but 3' to hairpin I) and the branchpoint sequence (BPS) of the intron results the bulging out of an unpaired adenosine, on the BPS, which initiates a nucleophilic attack at the intronic 5' splice site, thus starting the first of two transesterification reactions that mediate splicing. Lineage: Eukaryota; Metazoa; Arthropoda; Arachnida; Ixodida; Ixodidae. The record is from RNAcentral.
AUGGUUGACGCGAGUCAAAGUGUAGUAUCUGUUCUUAUUAGCUUAAUAAUAUAUGUUACGGGUUGUAUUUGGACCCAAGAUAUUAAACUUUCAUUCGCAAGUUUGCGGAGUGCUUGAAGAUUGUUUCUCCUCCGCCGCUGGUCGGCCCGGUAUUGCACGAUCGUCGGGAUUUUUGGUUUACGGACA